RNAcentral lists this ribosomal RNA (550 nucleotides) under uncultured archaeon. Its description in RNAcentral is "bacterial SSU rRNA". It matches the Rfam family "Archaeal small subunit ribosomal RNA", at positions 325 to 879 of the family's 1478-position model. The record is from RNAcentral.
ACGGGGUGCAGCAGGCGCGAAAACUUUACAAUGCGGGAAACCGUGAUAAGGGAACUCCGAGUGCCCGUAAAAUCGGGCUGUCCAUUUGUUUAAAAAACAAGUGAAGAAAGGGCCGGGCAAGACCGGUGCCAGCCGCCGCGGUAGUACCGGCGGCUCGAGUGGUGGCCACUAUUACUGGGCUUAAAGCGUUCGUAGCCGGUUUGUUAAGUCUCUGGGGAAAUCUUUCGGCUUAACCGGAAGGCGUCUCAGGGAUACUGGCAGACUAGGGACCGGGAGAGGUGAGGGGUACUUCAGGGGUAGGAGUGAAAUCCUGUAAUCCUUGAGGGACCACCUGUGGCGAAGGCGCCUUACCAGAACGGCUCCGACAGUGAGGGACGAAAGCUGGGGGAGCAAACCGGAUUAGAUACCCGGGUAGUCCCAGCUGUAAACGAUGCGCGUUAGGUGUAUCGGUGACCACGAGUCACCGAGGUGCCGAAGAGAAAUCGUGAAACGUGCCGCCUGGGAAGUACGGUCGCAAGGCUGAAACUUAAAGGAAUUGGCGGGGGAGCAC